This 254-nucleotide ribosomal RNA is filed under the name uncultured bacterium. RNAcentral's name for it is "partial 16S ribosomal RNA". It matches the Rfam family "Bacterial small subunit ribosomal RNA", at positions 524 to 776 of the family's 1533-position model. The record is from RNAcentral.
UACGGAGGGGGCGAGCGUUAUUCGGAAUUAUUGGGCGUAAAGGGCGCGUAGGCGGCCCGGUAAGUCAAAGGUGAAAUCCCUCGGCUCAACUGAGGAACUGCCUUUGAAACUGUCGGGCUUGAGGCCGGGAGGGGGUAGCGGAAUUCCCAGUGUAGCGGUGAAAUGCGUAGAGAUUGGGAAGAACAUCGGUGGCGAAGGCGCUCUGCUGGACCAUAACUGACACUCACAGGACGAAAGCUAGGGGAGCGAAUGGG